Molecule: ribosomal RNA, 253 nt
Filed under: uncultured bacterium
Lineage: Bacteria
Description: partial 16S ribosomal RNA
Rfam family: Bacterial small subunit ribosomal RNA
Source: RNAcentral
UACGUAGGGGGCAAGCGUUGUCCGGAUUUAUUGGGCGUAAAGAGCGUGUAGGCGGCCAAGUAGGUCCGUUGUGAAAACUCGAGGCUCAACCUCGAGACGCCGAUGGAAACCAUUUGGCUAGAGUCCGGAAGAGGAGAGUGGAAUUCCUGGUGUAGCGGUGAAAUGCGCAGAUAUCAGGAAGAACACCCGUGGCUAAGGCGGCUCUCUGGGCCUUACCUGACGCUGAGGAGCGAAAGCGUGGGUAGCGAACAGG